Fulvivirga imtechensis AK7 is the source of this 74-nucleotide transfer RNA. It matches the Rfam family "tRNA". From Rfam's summary of the family: Transfer RNA (tRNA) molecules are approximately 80 nucleotides in length. Their secondary structure includes four short double-helical elements and three loops (D, anti-codon, and T loops). NCBI's taxonomy places the organism in Bacteria, Pseudomonadati, Bacteroidota, Cytophagia, Cytophagales, Fulvivirgaceae. The record is from Rfam.
GGCGCUGUACCCAAGUGGCUUAAGGGGAGGGCCUGCAAAGCCUUCAUUCGGUGGUUCGAAUCCAUCCAGCGCCU